UUCUGUAUAUAUCUACUAAGUCCAUCUGGUCUAAUGUGUCCUUUAAGGCGAGUGUUUCCUUAUUGAUCUUCUGUUUGGAUGAUUUAUCCGUUGGUGUAAGUGGAGUGUUAAAGCCCCCUACUAUUAUUGUGUUACUAUUUCGCCUCUUAUGUCUGUUAAUAAUUGCUUUAUAUGUUUAGAUGCUCCUAUGUUGGGUGUGUAGAUAUUUACAAGUGUUAUAUUUUCUUGUUGGAUUGUUCCCUUUAUCAUUAUGUAGUGCCUGUCUUUGUCUCUUAUUACAGUUUUUGAUUUAAAGUCUAUUUUGUCUGAUAUAAGUAUUGCUACCUCUGCUUUCUUUUCUUUGCCAUUUGUAUGGAAUAUUUUUUUCCAUCCUUUCACUUUCAGUUUGUGAGUGUCUGUAGGUCUGAAGUGUGUCUCUUGUAUGCUGCAUAUACAUGGGUCUUGUUUGUUUAUCCAGUUGCCACCCUAUGGCAUUUGAUUGGAGCAUUUAGUCCAUUGACAUUUAAAGUAGCUAUUGAUAAAUAUGUAUUUAUUGCCAUCCUGUCACUUUUUUUUUCUGGGUGUUUUAGUAGUUCUUCUCUGUUCCUGUCUUUUUCUCUUGCUCUCUUCCCUUGUGGUUUGAUGGCUAUCUUUAGUAAUAUGUUUGAUUGCUUUUGCCUUACUUUUUUUCAUGCUUGCUUUAGGUUUCUGAUUUGUGGUUACCAUGAGGAUCCUAUUUAAUAUACUAUGCAUAUAACAGUCUAUAUUGAGUAGAUAGUCUCUUUAGCUUGACCUCUUUCUAAAGGCUCUACUUUUUCACUCCCCUCCUCCCACAUUAUAUGUUCUUCACAUCAUAUAUAGUCUCUUCUUUAGUGUGUGUCUAUCCAUUACUCUCUUAUCAUUGAAAUAGGUGAUUUUAGUACAUUUGUCUUUUAACCUUCAUAUUAUCUUCACAGGUAGUUGAUCUGCUGCCUUUACUAUAUUUUUACCUUACAAGUGAUUUUAUUGCAUUUUUUUUAUUGUUGUUGUUUUGGGGUUUUUUGAUAAUUUUUUUUAUCUCUAUUUGUGGUCGUUGCUUUCCCACUUAAAUAAGUCCCUUCAGCAUUUAUUGUAAGGCUGGUUUCUUAGUGAUAAACUCCUUUAAUUUUGGCUUGUCUGAUAAGGUGUUUAUCUCUCCUUCCAUCCUAAAUGACAACCUUGAUAGAUAGAGUAUUCUUGGCUUUUUUCUUUUUAGCACUUUAGAUAUGUUGUGCCAUUCUCUUCUCGCCUGUAGGGUCUCGACUGAGAAGUCCGCUGAUAGCCUGAUGGGCUUCCCUUUAUAUGUCACUUGUGGCCCUUCUCUUGCUGCUUUUAGGAUUCUCUCUUUGUCUUUAAUUUUGGACAUUUUGAUUAUAAUAUGUCUUGGUGUGGGCCUCUUUGGGCUUCUCUUGUUUGGAGCUCUCUGUGCUUCCUGAACUUGGAUGUCUGUUUCCUUCCUCAGGUUAGGAAAAUUUUCCUCUAUUAUUUCAACAAAUAAAUUUUCUGCCCCUUUGUCUCUCUCUUCUCCUUCUGGGACCCCUAUAAUCCAAAUGUUAGCACGCUUGAUAUUGUCCCAGAGUUCUCUUACACUGUUCUCAUUCUGUCUAAUUUUCAUUUCUUUUCUGUUCUGCUUGGGUGAUUUCCUCUAGUCUUUCAUCUAGCUCGCUGAUCCAUUCUUCUGCUUCCAAUACUCUGCUAUUGAGUCCCUCUAGUGAAUUUCUCAUUUUGAGUAUUGUAUUCUUCAUUUCUGAUUGGUUUUUUUAAUUUUUUUUCCCAUGGUUGGUUUUUUUUGUUUUGUUUUUUAAAGAUUUUAUUUUUUCCUUUUUCUCCCCAAAGCCCCCAGUACAUAGUUGUAUAGUCUUCGUUGUGGGUCCUUCUAGUUGUGGCAUGUGGGACGCUGCCUCAGCGUGGUUUGAUGAGCAGUGCCAUGUCCACGCCCAGGAUUCAAACUGACGAAACACUGGGCUGCCAGCAGCAGAGCGCACAAACUUAACCACUCAGCCAUGGGGCCAGGCCCCAUGAUUGUUUUUUUUUUAUAUCUUCCAGUUCUUUUCUGAUGUGCUCACUGUGUUCAUCCAUUCUUCUCUGCAUAUCUGUAAGCAUCCUCAGGAUAUUUUGUUUGAACUUUUUGUCAAGUAGGUCGCUAGUUUCUGUUUCACUCAGUCCUUUUUCUGGGGUUUUGUACUGUUCCCUUGCUUGGAAAGUAUUCCUUUGCCUCCUCAUUAUGCCUCUUUCUCUGUGCUAUUUUCUUUGUAGUAGGUGAGUCGACUAAGUCUCCUGAUCUUGGAGAAGUGGCCUUAUGUAUGAGAUGCCUUAUGAGGCCCAGCAGUGUGCUUCCCUCUCAUCACCAGUCCAUAAGAACCAGGAGUGACCCCUUUGUGGGCUACUUGUGUCCUUCUGCUGUGGCAGGGUUGCUCCCACUGCAGGUACCUAGGGAGUCUGAUCUUUCCUUCCCUGGCCAGCUGUUUGUAAAUCCAGUUUGGGGAGCCUCAGCACUGUUGGCUGCAAAAUCUAUCAGCACUCUCUGAUUGCAGUUUUCCUCUUAAUUGGGUUGGUGCCCAGUGUAGCUGGUUGCUAGGCUCAGGGGCAUACAGUUGUGAUAGGCCUCAGGCCAACAAGGCUGUUGUCAGUUUCCUUAGGAGUGCAGCUGAGUGGGGCUAGCCCUUGGCAGGGGGCACUCAAUUGUUUCAGGCUUUGGAAGGUGGGGCUGACCUUUUUUAUGGCUAUUUGUGAAGCACAAGUCUUCUGAUAAGCCUCACCCCCCACAGGACCACAUACACUGUCAACACAGUCCUGGUCUGUGCAAACUUUUCAACCCCCUGGAGCAUACCCCAACGCCACACUGCAGAGGCUCCCAUCUCUCACCCACAGUUCACCUGGUCCUCACACAGGUCCUGCCCCACAGAGGCAGACACCCUUGCCUGCCUGUAGAGGAUCAAGGGACCCAGUCAAUACAGGCUGAAAAGUAGCCUGAGGGCUUGCUGUUAGGUGGGGCCAGUCCCUAGGGUGGGCUGCCUGCCCUGGCUGAACUGAAUUAAAUCUGUGCUCUGGUAGGCGUGGCAGACCCCUGGGCCAACAGCCCAAGGGACAAACCUCAAUGGCCCCCACCGGGCCAUAUCAGCACGCCUGGACCAGGUCAGAACAAUGGCCCCCACCAAUGUGCCAGUCUCCGGAGAGGUCCCUCCUCUCACCAAGAUGCCCCCAGAGCCCACCAGCUGCUAUGGUAUGAUUGGAUCUAUGAAGAGACCCAGGGAGACAGGAACAGAGGGAGGCCUCCAAACAACAGCCAGUGAGAAACUGAGACCCUCUGUCCAACAGUCCAUGAGGAACUGAAUCCUGUCAGCAACCACGUGAGUAACAGUGACUUUGGAAACGGAUUCUACCUCAGAUUGAGAGGAACUGUACUCAAGGAGCUGUACUUAUGGAAGUAUUCCUAAGAGGCCUCAGCAAAACCUGGAUCUGACUUAAAUAAUGAGGUUCUAGACAUUGAACUGAUACUGUAAUGUCUUACUCUUGGGUAGGGCCAGCAUCCCUAGGGAGAGGCCCAUAAAGGAAAGAACUUAAGGAAGCCUCACACUAACAACCAGCAAGGAACUGAGACCCUCUGUGCAACGUCCCUUGAAGAAGUGAAUCCUACCAACAACCAUGCCAAAGAGUGCCCCUUCUGGCUGCGUACCCACUUAUAUAACCCCUACACAGAAGUCAAUGGGUGUUCCAGGCAGCAGCAAAACAGAUGUGGCUGCUGGGGUGGGGUGGAAGACGAUGACCAGCAUACAGAUUGCUGUGCUUAUGUUCUGCGUCGACAUCUGAUAUGGCUAUUCUUGUCUGUGUUUACAUGUCCCAUUCAUCUGGUUCAACCAGACAGAGUUUUACUAAUAUUAUUGAUGGUUGCCAUAACAACAAGCAUGUGAAUAUACUUUAGCUAAGAAAUUGUGACAAGUAUUUGGUUGAUCACAGUCCGUAAAUUGCAUAGAGGGAUGAUCUCCAGGGGUGAAGGGGGAUGGAAUAGGACAUCACCAGAUGGACACUUGCUUUGAUCUCAUUGAGGAAAUUUACAUAGUGAUUUCUCCUGAAAAAGUUCCUUUCCAGGGGCUUCCUCUGGAAAUUUGGAGCUGUUUGAUCCUUGGAGAAUAGCCAGUAACUCAACCAAAGACUCUUCUUAGACCAUAAAUAGCAUUCUGAGUUUGCAUCCUCCAUUUCCAUCACUCUCCCUCUCCUGAUCUUCUCAGUCUCUUCAGUAUUCAAGAAACUAAUGGAACAAAGUCAAAUACUAGAAAUUGGGUAAUCUUCCUUUGCUUCUUUUAGCUCUGGCUUCUUAGGUGACAUUCCUUUUGAUCACAGAUACUUCCUAAAAAUAUACUGGAUAUUGUGGAGUUGGGGGAGAAAAAGGGGCAAGAUGGUGGAUAUCAAAGACCUGGAAAACAACCUCUGCCAUUGAUGAAUUUGUGGUCAUGCUUGAGAGGCAGGGUGACUGAAGGGGUUCCUGAGGUGUGGGGCUUUUCGCUUUAUAACCAGGAAAGUCCAAGGCAAACCAGGAUGAGUUAGAGACUCUAUGAAGUGAGUCUGAGAAAUUCACUUCACCUACGUAGACCUCAUUUCUCCCAACUCUAAAAAUGAAUUAAAAAUUUUAUUUCCUUUGCCUUAUUCUCAGUAAACCAUAUACAAAAGAAGAAAACAAUACAUGAAAUCCUUUAAAAAAAAAAAAAGAGUACAGAGAUGCCAGCCAUAUCUGAUCCUAGAGUAUUGGCUUCAGAGAGACAGGGAAUUGGGUCUCCUUGGUGAAACACCUUAACAUCCAAGACCUCAAACACUUAGCUUCUCCCUAUGGUGCACCUGAUCUCUUUGAGACAAUGCAGUACUAUUUAAUAAGCUGACUCCCCAAAGGUGUCUAAGUGAUUCCCAGGAUGUAGGUCACACACUGGAAGAAUCGCAUUCAACCAAUGUUGAACAACCAAGCUUAAAACUCCCAACACACAGCUGCAUGUUUAAGAUGAAUAAGACAUCAUUGGUGAAAUAUUUUUAUUACAAGGGGUUACGACUUAAACACAGCAAAAAAGAUAUUGGAUUGAGGUGUUCCAUUUAAUGUAUUGGUUGAGAAGGGAGUGAGAGAGGGUAAGGGGAAGAGACAGAAGAGUCAUCCUAUGGUGAUUUCAUCCCACCAUUCCUCUUCCAGUGAGAUAAGAGCAGUCAUUGGGCUUAAGAUUAUCCAUUAUUCAUUUUCUCUAAAGAAGUAGGAGUGCUAUGAGAAUUACGGAUUAGUGCAGGGGAGGGGUAUACUCAAAGACUCCUGGUCUCCCAAUUUAGAACACAGUUGGGAGAAGGAAGGAGCAGAGCCUUCCCCUCCAGAACAAUAACAGCGGCAACACUAGCCACCCACCUUGGCUCAGCUCAGCCCAUAGAGAAAAAGAUACUCCACCCAAGCCCUGUCAGAGCUUAUUGGCUUUGUGUGAAUGAGGUUGAGGAGAGAGCUAUGAUGCUUUGAGGCUACACAGAUAAUCCAUCACUUUCCUCUCUGUGCCCAGGAAGGCUUGUGACAUGUGUCCCAAGAAAAAGAUACGAUGAAGUCCAAACCCCUGGUACCUGUGAAUGUGACCUUAUCUGGAAAUAAGAUCUUUUCAGAUACAAUCAAGUUAAGAUGAGAUCACACUGAAUUAGAGUGGGCCCUAAUCUAAUGACUAGGGUCCUUAUAAGAAGAUGAAAUUUGAACACAAAGAGACACAAGAACAACAUAUGAUGACAAACACAGAGAUUAGAGUGAUGCAUCUGCAAGCCCAGGAAUGCCAAGAAUUACUGGCAAUCACCAGAAGCUAAGAGAAAGGCGUGGAACAGGCUCUCCCUCAGACGGAACCUCUCUGACACCUUGUUUGUGGAAUUUUG
This is a long non-coding RNA of Equus caballus (horse), 5874 nucleotides long. The record is from Ensembl. NCBI's taxonomy places the organism in Eukaryota, Metazoa, Chordata, Mammalia, Perissodactyla, Equidae.